UCCCGGGUCGUCUAGCGGCAAGACACUUGGCUUUGGUCCAAGGUACAGGGGUUCGAAUCCUCUCCCGGGAG
This 71-nucleotide transfer RNA is filed under the name Actinomycetota bacterium. RNAcentral describes it as "tRNA-Gln". It matches the Rfam family "tRNA". From Rfam's summary of the family: Transfer RNA (tRNA) molecules are approximately 80 nucleotides in length. Their secondary structure includes four short double-helical elements and three loops (D, anti-codon, and T loops). Further hydrogen bonds mediate the characteristic L-shaped molecular structure. tRNAs have two regions of fundamental functional importance: the anti-codon, which is responsible for specific mRNA codon recognition, and the 3' end, to which the tRNAs corresponding amino acid is attached (by aminoacyl-tRNA synthetases). tRNAs cope with the degeneracy of the genetic code in two manners: having more than one tRNA (with a specific anti-codon) for a particular amino acid; and 'wobble' base-pairing, i.e. permitting non-standard base-pairing at the 3rd anti-codon position. Lineage: Bacteria; Bacillati; Actinomycetota. The record is from RNAcentral.